GAUGAAGAACGUAGCGAAAUGCGAUAAGUAAUGUGAAUUGCAGAAUUCAGUGAAUCAUCGAAUCUUUGAACGCACAUUGCGCCCCUUGGUAUUCCGAGGGGCAUGCCUGUUCGAGCGUCAUAUUAACCACUCCCGCUUGCGGGGUCUUGGGCUUCGCCUCCGGGCGGGCCUUAAAAUCAGUGGCGGUGCCGUCGGGCUCUACGCGUAGUAAAUUUUCUCGCGAUAGGGUCCCGGUGGAUGCUUGCCAACAACCCCCAACUUCUUAAGGUUGACCUCGGAUCAGGUAGGGAUACCCGCUGAACUUAAGCAUAUCAAUAAGCGAGGA
Molecule: unclassified non-coding RNA, 325 nt
Filed under: soil metagenome
Description: partial contains 5.8S ribosomal RNA, internal transcribed spacer 2, and large subunit ribosomal RNA
Rfam family: 5.8S ribosomal RNA (bases 1-120)
Source: RNAcentral